GCAGGAGUGGCGGAAUAGGCAGACGCGCACGUUUGAGGGGCGUGUGAGUAAUCGUACGGGUUCAAGUCCCGUCUUCUGCA
Molecule: transfer RNA, 80 nt
Filed under: Clostridium carboxidivorans P7
Lineage: Bacteria; Bacillati; Bacillota; Clostridia; Eubacteriales; Clostridiaceae
Rfam family: tRNA
About the family: Transfer RNA (tRNA) molecules are approximately 80 nucleotides in length. Their secondary structure includes four short double-helical elements and three loops (D, anti-codon, and T loops).
Source: Rfam by way of RNAcentral